GGCUGUUCUUGGGUGACACACCCUUGAAUUGGGCUCCCUCCCCUCUGGUUCCAGGGUGUGUCACCUGAGAACUGCU
Molecule: non-coding RNA, 76 nt
Organism: Myotis lucifugus (little brown bat)
Lineage: Eukaryota; Metazoa; Chordata; Mammalia; Chiroptera; Vespertilionidae
Source: Rfam